Long non-coding RNA from Lemur catta (Ring-tailed lemur), 1036 nucleotides. RefSeq lists it as uncharacterized. The transcript has 3 exons. Lineage: Eukaryota; Metazoa; Chordata; Mammalia; Primates; Lemuridae. The record is from RefSeq and is a predicted model, not a curated record.
AGUUGGAACUGUGUGAAUCCACUUAAAUGUGCAUUUUCUUCUUCUGCCUCUUCCACCCCUGAGAUAGCAAGACCAACUUCUUCCUCCUCCGCCUACUCGAUGUAAAGACUACGAGGAUGAAGACCUUUAUGAUGAUCCACUUCCACUUAAUAGAAGGACCGGAACAAAGGCCUGCCACGCCUUGGUAGCUGGGAUUAUAAACUUCAGAUGAAGGAGCCCACUGAGGAGAAAGCAGAUGCGGAUGUUCUAAUUGUCAAGGAAGGUGGCAUAGCAAGCCUGCCGCAGCUCAAUGGAAACUAAUGCUUUGCUUUGUCCUUCAUAGACCUAACUGGCUAUUUUCCUAUAAGUACUUGCUGUUAUUUUAUGUUUCAAUUCGAAGAUUUUUUUUCUGCCAGUAAGAAGCCAGAAUGUGCUUUAUCCUCCUGAGAGCAGGGGUCAGCAAAGUACUGCCAUCAAGCCAAGUCUAUGGGGACAAAUCUUGUUUGUAUAAAUAAAGUUUUAUUGGAACAUGGCCACAUGGUUCACGUGUAUUGUCUAUGGCUGCUGUCAUGCUACAAUGGCAGAGGUAAGAAGUUGUGAUGAAGACAGUAUGGCCUAAAAAGCUGAAAUGCAUACUAUAUGGCUCUUUACAGAAGUUUGCUGACUCCUGUCCUAGAGGAAUUUCUCUCACUGAAAUGCUUUUCUUUAAUGAAACAGAUUCUGAGCUUCUUGGAUGCAGGUCCUUGAUCUGUCUGUACUCACUGCCAUCUUCCAAGGAUGAACCCACAGUGUCUGGCUGGGAACAGGGCUCAUUACAUAUAUGCUGAAUUGGUGACUGAACGGGAGUGUGUCUGCCUCCCUGCCAGAGCUAGCCCUGCCACGGGACCCAGUGCUUACUUGUAGCUGCUGAAGCUUUGGUUCCAUCUUCACUGACUUCAAUUUUUGCUUUUUGCAAGAUGUGAGAAACAUGGAGGUUUUCUGACCCUGUUUCCAGAAAAUAAAACAAAAUCAGCAUUUGUUUGAUAUUCAAGUCAUCUUUUGGCUGGAGAAGUAACCU